This 284-nucleotide ribosomal RNA is filed under the name uncultured prokaryote. Its description in RNAcentral is "partial 16S ribosomal RNA". It matches the Rfam family "Bacterial small subunit ribosomal RNA", at positions 524 to 805 of the family's 1533-position model. The record is from RNAcentral.
GACGAACUGUUCUAACGUUAUUCGGAAUCACUGGGCUUAAAGGGCGCGUAGGCUGUUUGUUAAGCGGGGUCUGAAAUCCCUCGGCUCAACCGAGGAACUGGGCUUCGAACUGGCAGAAUAGAGUGAAGUAGGGGUAAGCGGAACUUGCGGUGGAGCGGUGAAAUGCUUUGAUAUCGCAAGGAACACCGGCGGCGAAGGCGGCUUACUGGGCUUCAACUGACGCUUAAGCGCGAAAGCUAGGGUAGCGAACGGGAUUAGAUACCCGUGUAGUCCCUGAGCGGGCU